UACAGAGGUCCCAAGCGUUGUUCGGAUUCACUGGGCGUAAAGGGUGCGUAGGCGGUCAGAUAAGUCUGAUGUGAAAUCUUCGAGCUCAACUCGGAAACUGCAUCGGAAACUAUCUGGCUAGAGGAUUGGAGGGGAGACUGGAAUUCUCGGUGUAGCAGUGAAAUGCGUAGAUAUCGAGAGGAACACCAGUGGCGAAGGCGAGUCUCUGGACAAUGCCUGACGCUGAGGCACGAAAGCUAGGGGAGCAAACGGG
RNAcentral lists this ribosomal RNA (253 nucleotides) under uncultured bacterium. RNAcentral's name for it is "partial 16S ribosomal RNA". It matches the Rfam family "Bacterial small subunit ribosomal RNA", at positions 524 to 776 of the family's 1533-position model. The record is from RNAcentral.